GGCUCAGAUUGAACGCUGGCGGAAUGCUUUACACAUGCAAGUCGAACGGUAGAGGGGGCAACCCCUUGAGAGUGGCGAACGGGUGAGUAAUAUAUCGGAACGUGCCCAGUCGUGGGGGAUAACGCAGCGAAAGCUGCGCUAAUACCGCAUACGAUCUAUGGAUGAAAGCGGGGGACCGUAAGGCCUCGCGCGAUUGGAGCGGCCGAUAUCAGAUUAGGUAGUUGGUGGGGUAAAGGCUCACCAAGCCAACGAUCUGUAGCUGGUCUGAGAGGACGACCAGCCACACUGGGACUGAGACACGGCCCAGACUCCUACGGGAGGCAGCAGUGGGGAAUUUUGGACAAUGGGCGCAAGCCUGAUCCAGCAAUGCCGCGUGCAGGAUGAAGGCCUUCGGGUUGUAAACUGCUUUUGUACGGAACGAAACGGUGAGCUCUAAUACAGUUUGCUAAUGACGGUACCGUAAGAAUAAGCACCGGCUAACUACGUG
RNAcentral lists this ribosomal RNA (487 nucleotides) under uncultured bacterium. RNAcentral's name for it is "bacterial SSU rRNA". It matches the Rfam family "Bacterial small subunit ribosomal RNA", at positions 21 to 507 of the family's 1533-position model. The record is from RNAcentral.